This 60-nucleotide transfer RNA is filed under the name Lygodactylus grotei. RNAcentral's name for it is "tRNA-Cys". The record is from RNAcentral. Lineage: Eukaryota; Metazoa; Chordata; Lepidosauria; Squamata; Gekkonidae.
GGGCGGUGGAGGCACAGCAAAAUGCAAAUUUGAAGAAGCACCCUAAAAGGUGCCCCGGCU